This 490-nucleotide ribosomal RNA is filed under the name uncultured bacterium. Its description in RNAcentral is "bacterial SSU rRNA". It matches the Rfam family "Bacterial small subunit ribosomal RNA", at positions 355 to 838 of the family's 1533-position model. The record is from RNAcentral.
UGGGGAAUCUUGCGCAAUGGGCGAAAGCCUGACGCAGCGACGCCGCGUGGGGGAAGAAGGCCUUCGGGUUGUAAACCUCUUUCAGGUGGGACGAAGCCACUCGGGUGAAUAGCCCAGAGGGUGACGGUACCUCCAGAAGAAGCCCCGGCUAACUACGUGCCAGCAGCCGCGGUAAUACGUAGGGGGCAAGCGUUGUCCGGAUUUAUUGGGCGUAAAGAGCGUGUAGGCGGCCUGGUAGGUCGGUUGUGAAAACUGGAGGCUUAACCUUCAGACGUCGACCGAAACCCUCAGGCUAGAGUCCGGAAGAGGAGAGUGGAAUUCCUGGUGUAGCGGUGAAAUGCGCAGAUAUCAGGAAGAACACCCGUGGCGAAGGCGGCUCUCUGGGACGGUACUGACGCUGAGACGCGAAAGCGUGGGGAGCGAACAGGAUUAGAUACCCAGGUAGUCCACGCCGUAAACGAUGGGUGCUAGGUGUGGGGGGUGUCGGACU